Molecule: ribosomal RNA, 635 nt
Filed under: uncultured archaeon
Lineage: Archaea
Description: bacterial SSU rRNA
Rfam family: Archaeal small subunit ribosomal RNA
Source: RNAcentral
GCCCUACGGGGCGCAGCAGGCGCGAAAACUUUACAAUGCGGGAAACCGUGAUAAGGGGACACCGAGUGCCAGCAUCAUAUGCUGGCUGUCCAGAUGUGUAAAAUACAUCUGUUAGCAAGGGCCGGGCAAGACCGGUGCCAGCCGCCGCGGUAACACCGGCGGCCCGAGUGGUGAUCGUGAUUAUUGGGUCUAAAGGGUCCGUAGCCGGUUUGGUCAGUCCUCCGGGAAAUCUGAUGGCUCAACCAUUAGGCUUUCGGGGGAUACUGCCAGGCUUGGAACCGGGAGAGGUAAGAGGUACUACAGGGGUAGGAGUGAAAUCUUGUAAUCCCUGUGAGACCACCUGUGGCGAAGGCGUCUUACCAGAACGGGUUCGACGGUGAGGGACGAAAGCUGGGGGCACGAACCGGAUUAGAUACCCGGGUAGUCCCAGCCGUAAACGAUGCUCGCUAGGUGUCAGGCAUGGCGCGACCGUGUCUGGUGCCGCAGGGAAGCCGUGAAGCGAGCCACCUGGGAAGUACGGCCGCAAGGCUGAAACUUAAAGGAAUUGGCGGGGGAGCACAACAACGGGUGGAGCCUGCGGUUUAAUUGGACUCAACGCCGGACAACUCACCGGGGACGACAGCAAUAUGUAGGCC